AGGGAAAUAGCUCAAGUGGUAGAGCGAUUGAAUGGUUAAUCAAUGCGUUAAAGGUUCAAAUCCUUUUUUCUCAA
RNAcentral lists this transfer RNA (74 nucleotides) under Caudoviricetes sp. RNAcentral's name for it is "tRNA-Asn". It matches the Rfam family "tRNA". Rfam says of the family: Transfer RNA (tRNA) molecules are approximately 80 nucleotides in length. Lineage: Duplodnaviria; Heunggongvirae; Uroviricota; Caudoviricetes. The record is from RNAcentral.